CAUUAGGUUGAUUCUGCCUAACGUAGAUGCUAGUCUCUGAAAUUAAGCCAUGCAUGUCAGUGAAACCCUACCGGGGGAACGCGAACGGCUCCAUAAUGUUGCGGUAAUUUGGUCUCUGUGUGAAAACUAACCACCGUACCUGUGGCUAAAACGGGAAAAAAAGGCCAACCCUAUAACUUGUUGGUAUGGAAAGGACUACCAAGCCUGGACGGUUACCGGAAAUCUGUUUGAUCCCGGAAAGGGACCGAAAA
Molecule: non-coding RNA, 251 nt
Filed under: Enterocytozoon bieneusi H348
Lineage: Eukaryota; Fungi; Microsporidia; Enterocytozoonidae
Description: Microsporidia small subunit ribosomal RNA
Rfam family: Microsporidia small subunit ribosomal RNA
Source: Rfam by way of RNAcentral